GUUUGAUCCUGGCUCAGAGCGAACGUUAGCGGCGGGCUUAACACAUGCAAGUCGAGCGAGAGAGUGGCUUCGGCCAUGAGUAAAGCGGCAGACGGGUGAGGAACACGUAGGUAAUUUUCCGUUUAGUGGGGGACAACGGUCCGAAAGGACCGCUAAUACCGCAUACGUUCCUUGGGGCUUUGGCCCUGGGGAGGAAAGCUGGGCAACUGGCGCUAAAUGAGAAGCCUGCGUCGCAUCAGCUAGUUGGUGGGGUAAUGGCCUACCAAGGCGAAGACGCGUAGCUGGUCUGAGAGGAUGAUCAGCCACACUGGAACUGAGACACGGUCCAGACUCCUACGGGAGGCAGCAGUGGGGAAUAUUGGACAAUGGGCGCAAGCCUGAUCCAGCCACGCCGCGUGAGUGAUGAA
This 407-nucleotide ribosomal RNA is filed under the name uncultured bacterium. RNAcentral's name for it is "bacterial SSU rRNA". It matches the Rfam family "Bacterial small subunit ribosomal RNA", at positions 11 to 412 of the family's 1533-position model. The record is from RNAcentral.